RNAcentral lists this ribosomal RNA (466 nucleotides) under uncultured bacterium. Its description in RNAcentral is "bacterial SSU rRNA". It matches the Rfam family "Bacterial small subunit ribosomal RNA", at positions 29 to 506 of the family's 1533-position model. The record is from RNAcentral.
AUGAACGCUAGCGGCAGGCCUAAUACAUGCAAGUCGAACGGCUCGCAAGAGCAGUGGCAAACGGGUGCGUAACGCGUAAACAACCUGCCCACAACUGGGGGAUAGCCUUGCGAAAGCGGGGGUAAACCCGCAUGGUCCCUUUGCCUCACCUGGGGUGAGGGGUAAACAUUUAUGGGUUGUGGAGGGGUUUGCGUCUGAUUAGCUAGUUGGCAGGGUAACGGCCUACCAAGGCAAUGAUCAGUAGGGGUUCUGAGAGGAUUGGCCCCCACAUGGGUACUGAGAGACGGACCCAACUCCUACGGGAGGCAGCAGUAGGGAAUAUUGGGCAAUGGAGGCAACUCUGACCCAGCCAUGCCGCGUGCAGGAUGAAGGCGCUCAGCGUUGUAAACUGCUUUUAUCUGGGAAGAACGUGCAGGGUGCGCCUUGCAGUGACGGUACCAGAGGAAUAAGCACCGGCUAACUCCGU